Non-coding RNA from Rhodotorula diobovata, 71 nucleotides. NCBI's taxonomy places the organism in Eukaryota, Fungi, Basidiomycota, Microbotryomycetes, Sporidiobolales, Sporidiobolaceae. The record is from the annotation of a GenBank genome assembly.
GGAUUGGUCAUCUAGUGGUAGGAUAACAGCUCUUCAUGCUGUGCACGCAGGUUCGAUUCCUGUCCAGUCUA